RNAcentral lists this unclassified non-coding RNA (352 nucleotides) under soil metagenome. RNAcentral's name for it is "partial contains 5.8S ribosomal RNA, internal transcribed spacer 2, and large subunit ribosomal RNA". The stretch from base 1 to 120 matches the Rfam family "5.8S ribosomal RNA", at positions 35 to 154 of the family's 154-position model. The record is from RNAcentral.
GAUGAAGAACGCAGCGAAAUGCGAAAAGUAAUGUGAAUUGCAGAAUUCAGUGAAUCAUCGAAUCUUUGAACGCACAUUGCGCCCGCUGGUACUCCGGCGGGCACGCCUGUCCGAGCGUCAUUUCAACCCUCAAGCCCUCCUUCGGGAUGGGCCUGGUGUUGGGGCUCGACCGCCAUCUCCGGCGGCCGUCCCCUAAAUACAGUGGCGGUCACGUCGCGACUCCUUUGCGUAGUAGAAACACCUCGCUCCGGAUAGCAACGCGGUCCACGCCGUAAAACCACCAAUUUUCAAUGGUUGACCUCGGAUCAGGUGGGAAUACCCGCUGAACUUAAGCAUAUCAAUAAGCGGAGGA